Molecule: transfer RNA, 72 nt
Filed under: Camelus bactrianus (Bactrian camel)
Lineage: Eukaryota; Metazoa; Chordata; Mammalia; Artiodactyla; Camelidae
Also listed under: 2 other names
Rfam family: tRNA
About the family: Transfer RNA (tRNA) molecules are approximately 80 nucleotides in length. Their secondary structure includes four short double-helical elements and three loops (D, anti-codon, and T loops).
Source: Rfam by way of RNAcentral
GAGGGUGUAGCUCAGUGGUAGAAUGUAUGUCUAGCAUGCAAGAGGUCCUGGGUUCAAUCCCUAGUACCUCUA